UGGUCAUUACCAAGGCUUUUAGAAUGAAGUUUCUCAUUUGCUGUGGACAUGACCAUAAAAAAUUUUCCCACUAGGUUUUUCUGCCUGCUAUUUUGUUAGCAAUCAACCUGUUGGGAACAUUA
RNAcentral lists this small nucleolar RNA (122 nucleotides) under Chinchilla lanigera (long-tailed chinchilla). Its description in RNAcentral is "Small nucleolar RNA SNORA32 (ENSCLAG00000018908.1)". It matches the Rfam family "Small nucleolar RNA SNORA32". From Rfam's summary of the family: ACA32 is a member of the H/ACA class of snoRNA that guide the sites of modification of uridines to pseudouridines. The record is from Rfam by way of RNAcentral. Lineage: Eukaryota; Metazoa; Chordata; Mammalia; Rodentia; Chinchillidae.